Molecule: long non-coding RNA, 331 nt
Organism: Megalops cyprinoides (Indo-Pacific tarpon)
Lineage: Eukaryota; Metazoa; Chordata; Actinopteri; Elopiformes; Megalopidae
Exons: 4
Source: RefSeq, a predicted model, not a curated record
CAGCCGGAGGAUGAAGACGUGCGUUGUGGUCGCUUGACCAGCUGGGACGUGUGCAGUGGACUCAUGUAAAAUUAUGAGCCGCCUGAAGGGAGAUGAUUAAGUUGACCCCCAGAAUCCACCCAGGCUCCAACAGGUGAGCAGUAAGGGACGAUGGUGUUCGGAUCAGAGGGGUGAAACCAGGCUCUGAGCUGCUGAAGGUGCUGUGUGUGACCGACGCUGUCAAGAUAAAGCAAUAUGAUAUUGCUCUGAAGAUAAAUGUGAAGUUUCUGUAAAGAUGAAUAUUAAAAUGAAGCUGCUGUAGACACUAAUAAAAGUACUGGCUGAACAGGCA